AGAGUUUGAUCAUGGCUCAGGAUGAACGCUAGCGACAGGCUUAACACAUGCAAGUCGAGGGGCAGCAUAAUUUGUAGCAAUACAGAUUGAUGGCGACCGGCGCACGGGUGAGUAACGCGUAUGCAACUUACCUAUCAGAGGGGGAUAGCCCGGCGAAAGUCGGAUUAAUACCCCAUAAAACAGGGGUCCCGCAUGGGAAUAUUUGUUAAAGAUUCAUCGCUGAUAGAUAGGCAUGCGUUCCAUUAGGCAGUUGGCGGGGUAACGCCCACCAAACCGACGAUGGAUAGGGGUUCUGAGAGGAAGGUCCCCCANAUUGGUACUGAGACACGGACCAAACUUCUACGGGAGCA
RNAcentral lists this ribosomal RNA (350 nucleotides) under uncultured bacterium. RNAcentral's name for it is "bacterial SSU rRNA". It matches the Rfam family "Bacterial small subunit ribosomal RNA", at positions 8 to 349 of the family's 1533-position model. The record is from RNAcentral.